Neopsephotus bourkii (Bourke's parrot) is the source of this 1477-nucleotide long non-coding RNA. RefSeq lists it as uncharacterized. The transcript is spliced from 3 exons. Lineage: Eukaryota; Metazoa; Chordata; Aves; Psittaciformes; Psittacidae. The record is from RefSeq and is a predicted model, not a curated record.
AAAUUCACCAAAUUCGGGAAAACAGUUUAUUAUCUGUGCCAUAAUGAAACUUGUUUAUUUAUACAUUUAGUACACACAAAUGUUUUCCAUAAUCAAACUUCAGAUAGAUGUUCACAAAAUAUGACUCUGAUACAAAUAGGCAACACAGCAACGGUGUAUUCAAUUGGCCAAGUAAUUCUGGGGAGAGAGGGGGUGCACUUUGCUCAGUGCAUCAUGUAGUAGAUGGAUUGGAGCCAAUAUGAAUAAGGGCUGAAUAUCUCACUGAAAGGCAACGGGUCCUUUGAAACCUCCAAGUCAGUCCUGUCAAGAAAGCAGAGGAAUAAGUAAGAUUAAAUGGACAGGAUUUCAUGCAUGGAAAUUAACUGUUUUCUUACUGUUCUAGGGCCAGGUUCAGCUCCACUGUUCUGCUCAGAGUUUCUUUGAUUGACACAAGCAUCCCUGGGGAGUUGGUGGAAACCUCUGUGAUCUGCCUCCUGUGACAAGGUGACAUGCGGACGGCUGACUUGGAGACAGGAGUGAAAGCAGGAUCCAGCAGAGACCUGAGUGAAGACAUAAUGCUUGAGAUAACACCUGCAGCCAAGAAUAGAGCGAUGCUGAUGACACCAUGCCCUUCACCUGCACCAGCACCUUGGCUGUAAAAAGGGCCACCAGAGACCACUGGGAGGGAGCCCUAGGAGUGGUGUUCUCUGGACUCACCGUACACAUGGAGGUGACUCCAUCCCUGCCAGUGCAAACCAUGAUGGGUUUCACUGUGCCUCCCCAGCAGCUAGGCUUGGAGCAAGUGCAUAAGCUACCACCAGCAAAAGGCCCUGCUGCAGGUCAUCUGGAAGAGCUCCAUUUGCUGUGAAGGAAGAGAAACAAAGGCAUCAUACUACCAGCUGUCACUGAAACCACCUCGACAUGUUUCUCCCAGGAUCUGGAUACUGUCCCUCCUGGUAAGAAACUCCCUAGGGGCUGUACUAAAGAAGCUGUAUGAUCCAUUCCUUAGGUCCAUUCUUAAUGGAUGGCCUUAACUUAAGAAGGUCUCAUUGUUAGAGAAAUGAAGGGCUGCUCUUUGUUCAGGCGGUUGCAAUUUACUUAUUGCUCUGGGAAUUGCCUCUUGAGCUGGGCUGACACUUCUGCUGAAGUCUCUGAGGUUUUCUUCACAUUACAUCUACUCCUUUAUGUGUCUUUUGGGUUAUUCAGCAGGGUAUGUUAGGAUAAGGAAAGUCACCAGACUGCACACUGUUAACAUUUGUAUUGCAAUAGCUUCUAAAAGCUUAGUACAAGGCCCUCUAGUGCAUUACUAGCCCCAUUACAAGCAAAAUAAACUCGAAGGCAGGGAAAAACCACACUGUUGAGUGAAGGGGCCUGAUAAACUACCUCACUAUGCUGAGAUUGAGGGGAUCUUGAGCAGCAUCAAGAACCUUUUCCCAAUCAAUCUCAAAGGAAAAGGGAGUACGGAAAGCUUUUGUUCCACAGUUUUGCAAACGGCCAA